GACGAACGCUGGAGGCGUGCUUAACACAUGCAAGUCGAACGAUGAUGCUGGAGCUUGCUCCAGUUGAUUAGUGGCGAACGGGUGAGUAACACGUGAGCAAUCUGCCCUUGACUCUGGGAUAACUGCGGGAAACUGUAGCUAAUACCGGAUACUUUCACCGGAAGGCAUCUUCUGGUGAUGAAAGAAUUUCGGUCAGGGAUGAGCUCGCGGCCUAUCAGCUUGUUGGUGGGGUAACGGCUCACCAAGGCGACGACGGGUAACCGGCCUGAGAGGGUGACCGGGCACACGGGGACUGAGACACGGCCCAGACUCCUACGGGAGGCAGCAGUGGGGAAUAUUGCACAAUGGGCGCAAGCCUGAUGCAGCAACGCCGCGUGAGGGAUGAAGGCCUUCGGGUUGUAAACCUCUUUUAGCAGGGAAGAAGCGAAAGUGACGGUACCUGCAGAAAAAGCACCGGCUAACUACGUGCCAGCAGCCGCCGUAA
RNAcentral lists this ribosomal RNA (484 nucleotides) under uncultured bacterium. Its description in RNAcentral is "partial 16S ribosomal RNA". It matches the Rfam family "Bacterial small subunit ribosomal RNA", at positions 28 to 523 of the family's 1533-position model. The record is from RNAcentral.